UACGAAGGGGGCUAGCGUUGCUCGGAAUCACUGGGCGUAAAGCGCACGUAGGCGGAUCUUUAAGUCAGGGGUGAAAUCCCAAGGCUCAACCUUGGAACUGCCUUUGAUACUGGGGAUCUCGAGUCCGGAAGAGGUGAGUGGAACUGCGAGUGUAGAGGUGAAAUUCGUAGAUAUUCGCAAGAACACCAGUGGCGAAGGCGGCUCACUGGUUCGGUACUGACGCUGAGGUGCGAAAGCGUGGGGAGCAAACAGG
This 253-nucleotide ribosomal RNA is filed under the name uncultured bacterium. Its description in RNAcentral is "partial 16S ribosomal RNA". It matches the Rfam family "Bacterial small subunit ribosomal RNA", at positions 524 to 776 of the family's 1533-position model. The record is from RNAcentral.